Molecule: transfer RNA, 74 nt
Filed under: bacterium
Lineage: Bacteria
Description: tRNA-His
Rfam family: tRNA
About the family: Transfer RNA (tRNA) molecules are approximately 80 nucleotides in length. Their secondary structure includes four short double-helical elements and three loops (D, anti-codon, and T loops).
Source: RNAcentral
GUGGCUGUAGCUCAGUUGGUUAGAGUGUCUGGUUGUGGCCCAGAAGGCCGUGGGUUCAAGUCCCAUCAGCCACC